This is an RNA transcript of Cucumis melo (muskmelon), 3177 nucleotides long. RefSeq lists it as uncharacterized. The transcript has 3 exons. The record is from RefSeq and is a predicted model, not a curated record. Lineage: Eukaryota; Viridiplantae; Streptophyta; Magnoliopsida; Cucurbitales; Cucurbitaceae.
GUUUGAAAGAGUUUGAAAGAGUUUGAAAGGUUAGGAAUAUAUAUAAAGAAGAUUAGUAUUAUUAUAAUUUUCUCCCGCCAGGUUAGGUAGCGGCAGCUCAAAAUCCCACCUUCUUUGUUCUUCUGCGUUGAACGAAAAAGUCUCAAUUCAAUCCAAAAAUUCCAAUGUCUAAACCAUCUCAUGCUCCAAAUUUCAAAACCCUCUUCACCAAUCUCUUGACUUCCAAACGUUUUGGUUCCAUAGUCUGUUCAAUUUCGCUAUCUUUUGCCCAACAGUCAAUCGAACAGUUGAGAUCGUUCUUGGUAUCUUUUCAUUUUUCAAAUUCUUUGAAUUUUCUAAUACAAAUUUCCUCGACGUAGUUAUCAAGGAACUGAAUUUUCCGCCAUUUGGAUUUGCUAUAUUAUCUUCUGUUCACCCAACAAUGCAAUCUGCAACUGAGUUCGUACUGAAGCGAGUUAACCAUGGCCGUUUCCAGCAAGAUUUUGGUGAUUUCCAUGGCGAUUCUCGUAGCUGUUCGUUCAAUUGAAGCGUUAGACCCUAAUGUGACCUGGAUUCAGUUCUACAUGCAUGAUAUCGUGAGUGGUCCGAACCCCACCGCGAUUCAAGUCGCCGGCCGGCAGACGAACUACACUGGUACGGAUCCAAUCGCCGCCAUGUUUGGGUCUGUUUUCAUGAUGGAUAACCCACUCACGGUGACGCCGGAGUUGAACUCCACGUUGAUAGGUCGUGCUCAGGGGAUUUAUGCAAUGUCGUCGCAGCAGAAUGAGUUCAGCCUUUUGAUGACGCUUACCUUCGGCAUGAUCGGCGGACAGUACAACGGUAGCUCGUUCAGCGUCGUUGGGCGGAAUCCCAUCAUGAACGAAGUCCGGGAAAUGCCGGUCGUCGGAGGGACGGGGAUUUUCCGGCUGGUUCGUGGGUAUUGCUUAGCCAGGACAUACUCUUUCAGGAAUAUGGAUGCUGUGAUUGGCUACAACGUUACGUUGAUUCACGAUCUCUACGACUACUCCGGUUGAAGAUGAUUGAGGAUUCCGUAUUUUUGGAUGAUUUCCAUUAUAUUUAUAUUGAAUAAAUCUUCGUAGUCUAGAGCAUGUACAUUCAUAUUUCCAAUUAGCAAGUGCAUUCUACGAGCAUCAUUAACAUACCUUAAUUCAUUAUAUUAAAUGAAACUGUUUCUAUAUAGGGUUGUGUAGCAAAUAGGGGUUUGGUCAAUGGAGACCGUUUAAACUUUUAUGGGCAUUCAAUGUGAUUUAGCUGCCUGCCAUUUAUGUGUUUGAGUUAUGUAUCUGCUUUAUAUGACCAUGUAAUUUUGCAUGCCAACUUUUACCUUGUCCCUUUUUAUUCUUCUCGGAGAUGGGGAUGGAGAUGGAGAAUAGAUAAUUUCAUAUUUUACUGUUUUCUAGACUUUAACAAUCUUGAUGCCCUCCAAGCGUUUGCCUAUGCUUCUGCUCUGAGAUUGGAAAGGUCUUGUUUGGGAUUUAUCUGUUCUGAAAGACAGGUGAUCGUCGUUUGUUUAUUAUUUGAUCCGUGGGUUUCUUGAGCUUUAUGAUUGUUCAUAUAUGCACUUAGUACUUUCAGUGUCACUUUCUCUCGCUCUUUUUAUCUUUGUUUGGCUGCCGAUAAAUGGAAUCUUAGGAAAGAGUAAGGGGAAGAAACUUAAAUCUCGGCUGUUUCUUGUGAAAAUGGUUGUUUUGAUUUUGGUUGUAUUCUAGGCUGCUUAUGACAUUCAACCAGGGGAGUUGAUUCUCCCAAAACAAUGUUAAGUUGAACGUCCGUUGUUUAUUUUCCAUGCCAUGUAAUCAACUAUAAGAUGAUUGAUGUAUGAUUGUUCCUUUUCUUUGCAUGCAAUCUCUUCCUUUUAAGCGUUUGACAAUAUUUGUUGACAGCUUAAUUAGAACUGGAAGGAUCAACCUUAGCAGAAUCUAUAGGUACCAAUCAGGAAGUUUGGUGAUUUGUUCAUCAUUAGAGAAUAGAUGAGGAACGAAUUUUCUGAUUUGGUGGUCGACAAUAUGAAGAAAAGCCGAAAAGUGGAGAAGAAUAAAUUGAAAGUUGAUGAUAUUGAGUUCUUUAAGAGAAGAAAUUAUGUUGUACAAGAGCGUGAUGCUGGUCCUAGUGAAUCAGAAGCAAGUGGAGAUAGAAUGAGUAGGUAUUCCUCGAAGAGUUCAGUCAAGAGUUCAAUCGAAGACGAGUUGCCUGAGCUUGUUGUUUUUCUCCAAGAAACAAACUAUGAAUUUGUGAAAGACAUUUGCAUUGACGAAGCAGUAACAUCGCGUCAAAAGUGCUUUAAGGAGAGCUGUCACACAGAAAACGAUCAUGUCCCCUGCAUGCUCAAAUAUAAUGCAGGAGAAACUGAUGCUGAAUCAACUGAAGAAUCCAACGAUUCGGAUUCGACAAUUUCAAGUAUUGAAUCAACACAGACCCUUGAGGAAAACUUUAACGAAGUUUACGAGAAGCAAAAGGUUCAUUCUGAUGCAAUAGAUGUCCCUUCUGAGGUUCCCCGUAAGAAAUCUGUGCCAAAAUUAUUUCUUGAUAGAAAGUAGGUUACAGGUAAAAAGGCAGCAUCUUCUACAAACUCGAUUGCAAUAUCAUUGAAUAAGAUACUCGAUGAAAACAGAAACAAAGGAAAAGCAGUUGCCAGAAGCAACAUUGAACAUGGCAAAAAUUUUCGCAACUCCGGUUUAUCACAAAGCACAAUAGAGGGUGGUAGCAGCAAUUGGACGGCAGGUUGUGGUCAUUGUCAUGACUGUACCAUGGCCGAAUACAAGGACUAUACACCUGAAAACGAAACGGGACUAUACAGUAGCCAUUGUUCCUCUGCAGGUGAUCCUAGUUUGAACUCAGUGAGAAGACCCUCGAUGUCGUCUUAUUUGGGCAGUGGAUCUCUUCGGUCGAAUAGCAGCACCAACAGCUCACAUUCUUUUGCUUUUCCAAUUUUGCCAACAGAAUGGAAUGGAAGUCCAGAAAGGAUGGCAAAAGCUGAUCCGUUGCAAACACGAAGGCGGCAACUAUGGAGACUAUGUUUGCCCUGCUGUAAUUUCUGAGCCUCUCAUUGCCCAACCUUUCAGUGCUCUUGAUUGUUUUCACUCAGAUUCAUUAUCAUUUGUAUGAUAUAUGUAGAACUGCAGUGAUCCCACCAUUUGUAGUUUAUUUUAUAGCAUAAAAAUUUAGUGUUUCUGAAUA